RNAcentral lists this ribosomal RNA (253 nucleotides) under uncultured bacterium. RNAcentral's name for it is "partial 16S ribosomal RNA". It matches the Rfam family "Bacterial small subunit ribosomal RNA", at positions 524 to 776 of the family's 1533-position model. The record is from RNAcentral.
UACGUAUGGGGCAAGCGUUAUUCGGAUUCAUUGGGCGUAAAGGGUAUGCAGGGGGUCUAUUAAGUCGGGUGUGAAAUUUUCAGGCUCAACCUGAAACGUGCAUUCGAAACUGAUAGACUAGAGUUCGAUAGAGGAGUUUGGAAUUCCAGGUGUAGGGGUGAAAUCUGUAGAUAUCUGGAAGAACACCAGUGGCGAAGGCGAAACUCUGGAUCGAAACUGACCCUCAGAUACGAAAGCCAGGGGAGCAAACGGG